Molecule: unclassified non-coding RNA, 191 nt
Filed under: plant metagenome
Description: partial contains small subunit ribosomal RNA and internal transcribed spacer 1
Rfam family: Eukaryotic small subunit ribosomal RNA (bases 1-46)
Source: RNAcentral
AAGUCGUAACAAGGUUUCCGUAGGUGAACCUGCGGAAGGAUCAUUACCUAGAGUUGUAGGCUUUGCCUACCAUCUCUUACCCAUGUCUUUUGAGUACCUUCGUUUCCUCGGCGGGUCCGCCCGCCGCAUUGGACAAAUCGUAAACCUUUACUGUAAUUGAAAUCAGCGUCUGAAAAACAUAAUAGUUCCAA